AGAUUGAACGCUGGCGGAAUGCUUUACACAUGCAAGUCGAACGGCAGCACGGGGGCAACCCUGGUGGCGAGUGGCGAACGGGUGAGUAAUACAUCGGAACGUGCCCAGUCGUGGGGGAUAACUACGCGAAAGCGUAGCUAAUACCGCAUACGAACUCUGGUUGAAAGCGGGGGAUCGCAAGACCUCGCGCGAUUGGAGCGGCCGAUGGCAGAUUAGGUAGUUGGUGGGGUAAAGGCUCACCAAGCCGACGAUCUGUAGCUGGUCUGAGAGGACGACCAGCCACACUGGGACUGAGACACGGCCCAGACUCCGUACGGGAGGCAGCAGUGGGGGAAUUUUGGACAAUGGGCGC
RNAcentral lists this ribosomal RNA (352 nucleotides) under uncultured soil bacterium. RNAcentral's name for it is "bacterial SSU rRNA". It matches the Rfam family "Bacterial small subunit ribosomal RNA", at positions 26 to 378 of the family's 1533-position model. The record is from RNAcentral.